GCAGGUCAGGUGACAUCAGGUUAUAGAAUAAGGGAUGGACAAUGGACAGAGAUUGGUCGAAAAUCGCCACAAAAACCACAGAUGUUUUAUAAUGCAACAACGCCGGGACUUGUGGUACAGAAAGGUGAUAUACUGGCUGCGAGAUGUACAAUGAAGAAUGAUUUGAACAGG
Long non-coding RNA from Ruditapes philippinarum (Manila clam), 171 nucleotides. RefSeq lists it as uncharacterized. The record is from RefSeq and is a predicted model, not a curated record. Lineage: Eukaryota; Metazoa; Mollusca; Bivalvia; Venerida; Veneridae. The transcript has 3 exons.